Long non-coding RNA from Aethalodelphis obliquidens (Pacific white-sided dolphin), 4399 nucleotides. RefSeq lists it as uncharacterized. NCBI's taxonomy places the organism in Eukaryota, Metazoa, Chordata, Mammalia, Artiodactyla, Delphinidae. The transcript is spliced from 5 exons. The record is from RefSeq and is a predicted model, not a curated record.
CUGUGGCUGCUGUAGCUUCCCCCUCACCCUUCUUCCAGCUGCUUCUUAAAGCCAUUUUUAGGACAGGAGAGGACCAUUUCCGCAGACUGAAGGAGGUGCUUGUCGGUUACUUCUGCAGCAGGAGGGUUGACCCACCCUCCAUCCAUUGAGAGCUUCGAAAGCACAACAGAUGAGUCUCUUUGGCAAGAUCUUCACAGUUUCCAAGCAGCUCUUCAUGACAUGAUCCGGAGUCUGGUUGAACGGUCUGGAGGGUUUCUGAUAUAUCUGAAAAACCUCUUCCCAGCGAACACUUAAAUUAGCAGAGGAGCCUCUUCACAGUUUAGAUAAGAUUGAAUAAAGACAACGGAUGCUCAAGCCAUUACUAUGGAGAUUCAACAACCAGGCGUGAACAGGGCCUGAACAACAGCAUCUAUGACAGAGAACAUUUCGGAAGAAAUCCCUUCAUUUUGUCCACAUGUCUACUUCGAAGCUGUGGGAGUCGGAGAGGAGAAGAAGGAGGAGUUGAUGGCUAUAUUGUUUCAUACAGUGUUAUAUUGUACAACAGUGGAGGGGGCGAGGAGAGGAAACUGACCGUAACCUGGAAGAGCAGAGAUGAAGGAAAAGAGCUGCUUAGGGCACGGUGCUUGUCAGGAGUAGAUAGAGUUGCUAUGAGGAAGUUUGUUCUAGUCCUUUUAAGGUUUUAGAAAAUAUUUCUACUUUGAUUUCGCAGAAUUUUAUUACUGAGAGGGAUUUUAGAACUUAUUUGCCACAACUUUUUUCACUUUUUUUUAGUCAGGUAGACAGUUGAGACCCAGAAGGGUCAGCAGUUCCUCCAACUUCACAAGUUGAGUGUAACCAAGUCGCGAUUGGGUCUUUUGAUUCCCUUUCUGAUUCAGCAGUAGCUCAUUGUGGAAUCUUGAGCCUGAUACAUUGCUGGUACUCUGCAAAUAUUUAAUGAAGGAAAGAAUGAAUUCCUGAAUGACUCUGUCUCCCAUAGCUUUUGUUCGUGGACCAUUUUUGUACCCCCAGAUAAAGUCAAAAGAGAUCGUCGUGUGCCUUGCAGUUGGGCACAGAGAUGGAGAAAGCAAAGUUUCUAGUUCUGGAACAGAGACAUCAGAAGAAUGACCCCACUUCUUUUUAAAUUUUCUCUUUGCCAAGGGGGGAAUCAUUCAGCAGAGAUGUGUCUGCUGGGAGGGCCAGGUUCUGAAGUCAGCCACAAGAAGAAAAUCACAGAUAAUCAAAACUUCCCUUGAAGUUUUCUUAGGGAGGUACCAUGCCAAAGCCUGGUGGACUAUUUCUCAGCCAGUUUUCCCUCCAUCAUUGGAGCAGACAGCUGUUUUCUUGUUUGAGUACCAGUGAAGCAGUUAGCUUACAUUUUGAGGUCAUGUAUAUGAAAAAUGUGUAUUUUAAGCAGAAGACUACACAGGGAAGGUCCGUAGGCAUGGAGACAAACCUAGGGCAGAACAGAUUUGUUGGUCCUGUCUCAUGUUCACUCUGGGGCACCUGCUUUUUAAGACCAAUACCCAUUCCCUCUCUCUCUCUCUCUCUCUCUCUCGUAUAUGAUCCAACUUACAAAAGUUUAAUGUAUGUUAGAUUUCACUCCACUGUUCUACCUAGUACAUUGGGAAAGCUGAACUAAAUACUGACCCAGUAUCUAGAAUCAAAAUCUACAUUAAAGGUAUUUACUUUAUCUUGUGGAACUUCUUAGAUAAAGAUGAGAGGUCUAAACUCUAUAAUUAGAUAAUUUUAUUGGCAGUGAUAUGAAUUAUUAUUAUUUUGCUGUGGAGGCUUAAAAAAGAGGAAGUUUUGGUAUAGAUAUGCCUGGGAAAAGGAGAAUAUAUUAUAUGAUGACUGAAUUUAGAGAAAUUUAAAUGCAAAAGGAAAUCAGCCUCUGACAUUCUUGCCCUCUUUUCCCAUCUCUGAAAAAACAAAAACAAAAUCGCUGGUUUACUCAGAGUCCCUCUUUUAAGACUUGAUUCAGACAUCCAAGCCUUCUAUCCUCAAUAGGCUGUUUGUUGCUUUUCCUGCAUCUCUCUCCCUCUUUCUUCCCUUUCUUCCUACCCAUCUCCACUCCCAAUUCUCCAUUCCCAUUCUUUCUUAUGCUGCAGCUUCACUGUGGACACAGACCACAGCGUCAGGGAGGCUUUUUUAAGAAUUUCUUAAACUUACUAAAAAGUAAUAAACUCUUGCAGACAUUACGAAGGAGGACUUUGGACAGAGAUACCUAGCUGAUUUCCUGGAACAAUAGCUGGGGAAUUAUUUUUCGGCUCCAAGAGGAUAAUAUUUUAAGUUGCUAUAUGUUUGCUGAUCCUGGGGAGAGGGUUGGAACAAUCGAGCAUGCACGGGAAGCUUGGGCUCUUGGCCCAGUCGGCUCAGAGUCUAAAUAUUUGGAGGAUGAAUACUUGAAAAUACAUUUAAACAUUUAAAACAUUUUAUUUGUUUUUCCAGGAAGUCGCAUUGUUAAUGCGAUACAAUUCUGCAGCAGGACUCUGUCUGCGGGAGGUGUGAACCUCCUGGACAAGCCCAGGCUCAGGCUCCACCUUAGGCCUUGGUGUGAAGCCAGAGAUGUGCAUGUCUAUUGGCUAAUGUCCACGCCUGUGAAGUGGGUUAUUAUUACAAUCGCUCACCUUGUUCUAAAGUCUAAUGCCUGUGUUCUAAAGUCAUCCUAAGGGUCUGACCCAACUCUGCACUAAAACCAAGAAUGGAACUUCACACACACACACACACACACACACACACACACACACACACACACCAUUUUCCAAAUCAAAUGCUGCAAUGUUUAUCUUCUUUUGUCAGUGCUGCCGCUUUAUUAUUAUUGCCAGCUUCCAGCUCUACACAGAUGGUCAUCUGUGGUCAGUUUUCCUCUCCUGCCUACGAGGCAACAUACCUUUGGGCUGGUAUACGCUUAGAGAAUUCAAACUAAUAUGAAUGCAUUCGAUUAUGUAAAAUGUAAUUAGGAAAGCAAAUUUGUUGUAAAAGCAGCCUAUGUGUUUAUAUAACUUACAAUCAAUUAGAAGCAACUGGGGGAUUUUCAAUGUUCUUUAGACACACAGAUAUAUUCCAGGACCUCAAUUAUGUCAACUAUUUGCCUAUCUCAAUCAAAUGGUCUAGAUAAUUGCCAAAUAUCUACUUUGCUAUGCUAUCAAGUCCCAAACUCUCAUUGUCUCGGUGGAAUGGAAGUGAGAAUCACCUUCACUUCUAAAAUUUGAAGUAGAAAGCGCUGGGGAGGGCUGAGGUAGAGAGUAGCAUGGGUGUGCACCCGACCUGGUAAUUGCCAUGGUAAGGUGUCUUAGACAACAUGAUAAUAACUCUCUCGAUAGAACUGGGGAUGCGGUAGCAACAGUAAAAAUUAUAUUAAACUGGGCCCGAUGCCCAGACUAUCAGCCUCAGAUAAACAAAAUAUAAGAGAAGCAUUUCAAGAGGGGCUAACUUGUGAAUCAAGGAAGCUAAAACAGGCCAGAGAGGUGCUCGCUUGAGGAGACAAUGCUUUCACCUCCUUGAAAAAGCUGUGCCCAACCUAAUUAAAAUGCCCAAUCUAAUUAAAAACCUAACCAUAAUCUCCCCGGUGGCCCUUCACUCCACCCCUUUCCAUUGUUAAGAUGCUAAUAGGGUCGCUUAGCUGAAAAAUUAUUAAACCAGAGACUAUUUGAGCACACGCGCGUAAUCCCCAGCCUAGUGAAUUGGAGCGAAGAUGCUAGUGAUUUGUACAGCGAUGGUGGUGUCUCCCUCAGCAAUGAUGUAUGACAUGGAUUAGGGCAGAGCAGCCAUCUGCUGUUGAGGAGGGUGAUAGAAUCUGUUCCACAGCGGCAGAUGACUCCCCAGUGCUGGCCAGCUGGCUCAGAGUGGACGAAGUUGGGCAGGGUAAGUGAUGCCCCAGCGACCCUCUGGGGAAAUAACUCCGGGACCUCUCCCUUAGGUGCCUAUAUUUGUCCCUGCUGGCUUCAUGCAUACACAUAUGUCAUAGAGCUGAUAUGAUGCAAUACACUUUAGAACAUGGAGAAGAAGGAAGAAGCACAUACCCACCAUAAAGUUUAAAAGUUGCUGGUCUUGAGCAUGAGAUGUGCCCUUGAGUCUCACGGUAGCCUGGACAAAAAGAGGAAACCUGAUAAAUCUUAUAGCUCACACUAUCUGGGAAAAGAAGCAAGUCACUUUCUUAGAAGAAAUAAAGUUUUUUCUUACUUUUUCACGUUUAACUUGAUAAAGAGGAGAAAUUGAAUUUCUCAGGGUGUAUAUUAGAAAAUCAAACUGCUAGAGUGCUUGACCUAUUUACAGGGAAAGGACCAGAACGUGGAUUCUCCAGUGACUAAUGAGAAAUAGGUAGCGCUCAGCAGUUCCCUAAUAGGAUUGUGAUUUUUACCUUUUUCUCUUUGCAUAUCUGUAUUUUCUAAAAUUUCCACCAUCUGGGACUUCCCUGGUG